ACUUAAAAUCCUUUUUAUAGUACUUAAAUCAUUAAAGGAGUGAAU
Molecule: transfer RNA, 45 nt
Filed under: Hepatus epheliticus (calico box crab)
Lineage: Eukaryota; Metazoa; Arthropoda; Malacostraca; Decapoda; Calappidae
Description: tRNA-Cys
Source: RNAcentral